RNAcentral lists this transfer RNA (72 nucleotides) under Camelus ferus (Wild Bactrian camel). It matches the Rfam family "tRNA". From Rfam's summary of the family: Transfer RNA (tRNA) molecules are approximately 80 nucleotides in length. The record is from Rfam by way of RNAcentral. Lineage: Eukaryota; Metazoa; Chordata; Mammalia; Artiodactyla; Camelidae.
GAGGGUGUAGCUCAGUGAUAGAGCGUGUGCUUAGCAUGCUGGGGGUCCUGGGUUCAAUCCCCAGUACCUCCA